AUCCUUUUUUGAUUUGUAAGUAUAAGAUUUGCAGGCUAUGGAUUGAGAUGUACCUCUAUCAAACCUUGUCAUGAAGUCAGUGUAUUACCCAGUUGAUG
RNAcentral lists this small nucleolar RNA (98 nucleotides) under Erinaceus europaeus (western European hedgehog). RNAcentral's name for it is "Small nucleolar RNA U13 (ENSEEUG00000022650.1)". It matches the Rfam family "Small nucleolar RNA U13". The record is from RNAcentral. Lineage: Eukaryota; Metazoa; Chordata; Mammalia; Eulipotyphla; Erinaceidae.